RNAcentral lists this ribosomal RNA (492 nucleotides) under uncultured bacterium. RNAcentral's name for it is "partial 16S ribosomal RNA". It matches the Rfam family "Bacterial small subunit ribosomal RNA", at positions 29 to 507 of the family's 1533-position model. The record is from RNAcentral.
AGUGAACGCUGGCGGUAGGCCUAACACAUGCAAGUCGAACGGCAGCACAGUAAGAGCUUGCUCUUACGGGUGGCGAGUGGCGGACGGGUGAGGAAUACAUCGGAACCUACUUUUUCGUGGGGGAUAACGUAGGGAAACUUACGCUAAUACCGCAUACGACCUACGGGUGAAAGCAGGGGAUCUUCUGACCUUGCGCGAUUGAAUGAGCCGCUGUCGGUUUAGCUGGUUGGCGGGGUAAAGGCCCACCAAGGCGACGAUCCGUAGCUGGUCUGGGAGGAGGAUCGGCCACACUGGAACUGAACCGCGGUCCAGACGCCUACGGGAGGCAGCAGUGGGGAAUAGUGGACAAUGGGCGCAAGCCUGAUCCAGCCAGACCGCGUGGGUGAAGGAGGCGCUCGGGGUGUAAAGCCGUUUUUUUGGUAGAGAAAAGCAUUAGGUUGAGACGCAGCGUGUCUGACGGUACCCAGUGAAUAAGCACCGGCUAACUACGUG